GAAGCGGCCGGAAGAACAUGGAGGCAGAUGUUAAGAUCCCUCUCUUCACCUUUACAGAUAAAGCCAAGCCCGGGUCAAUGGACAAGAUACUCAAUCGACAAGAACCAUAAAGACACGCUCUAAGAUCAAGAAUUGACAAAUGGGAUCUCAUAAAACUGCAAAGCUUCUGUAAGGCAAAGGACACUGUGGUUAGGACAAAACGGCAAUCAACAGAUUGGGAAAAGAUCUUUACCAAUCCUACAACAGAUAGAGGCCUUAUAUCCAAAAUAUACAAAGAACUCAAGAAGUGAGACCACAGGGAAACAAAUAACCCUAUUAAAAAAUGGGGCUCAGAGCUAAACAAAGAAUUCACAGCUGAGGAAUGCCGAAUGGCGGAGAAACACCUAAAGAAAUGUUCAACAUCUUUAGUCAUAAGGGAAAUGCAAAUCAAAACAACCCUGAGAUUUCAUCUCACACCAGUGAGAAUGGCUAAGAUCAAAAACUCAGGGGACAACAGAUGCUGGCGAGGAUGUGGAGAAAGAGGAACACUCCUCCAUUGUUGGUGGGAUUGCAAACUGGUACAACCAUUCUGGAAAUCAGUCUGGAGGAUCCUCAGAAAAUUGGACAUUGAACUGCCUGAGGAUCCAGCUAUACCUCUCUUGGGCAUAUACCCAAAAGAUGCCUCAACAUAUAAAAAAGACACGUGCUCCACUAUGUUCAUUGCAGCCUUAUUUAUAAUAGCCAGAAGCUGGAAAGAACCCAGAUGCCCUUCAACAGAGGAAUGGAUACAGAAAAUGUGGUACAUCUACACAAUGGAAUAUUACUCAGCUAUCAAAAACAACGACUUUAUGAAAUUCGUAGGCAAAUGGCUGGAACUGGAAAAUAUCAUCCUGAGUGAGCUAACCCAAACACAGAAAGACAUACAUGGUAUGCACUCACUGAUAAGUGGCUAUUAGCCCAAAUGCUUGAAUUACCCUAGAUGCCUAGAACAAAUGAAACUCAAGACAGAUGAUCAAAAUGUGAAUGGUUCACUCCUUCUUUAAAAGGGGAACAAGAAUACCCUUGGCAGGGAAGAGAGAGGCAAAGAUUAAAACAGAGACUGAAGGAACACCCAUUCAGAGCCUGCCCCACAUGUGGCCCAUACAUGUACAGCCACCCAAUUAGACAAGAUUGAUGAAGCAAUGAAGUGCAGACCGACAGGAGCCGGAUGUAGAUCGCUCCUGAGAGACACAGCCAGAAUACAGCAAAUACAGAGGCGAAUACCAGCAGCAAACCACUGAACUGAGAAUAGGACCCCCGUUGAAGGAAUCAGAGAAAGAACUGGAGGAGCUUGAAGGGGCUCGAGACCCCAUAUGUACAACAAUGCCAAGCAACCAGAGCUUCCAGGGACUAAGCCACUACCUAAAGACUAUACAUGGACUGACCCUGGACUCUGACCUCAUAGGUAGCAAUGAAUAUCCUAGUAAGAGCACCAGUGGAAGGGGAAGCCCGGGGUCCUGCUAAGACUGAACCCCCAGUGAACUAGACUGUUGUGGGGAGGGCGACAAUGGGGGUAGGGUUGGGAGGGGAACACCCAUAAGAAAGGGGAGGGGGGAGGGGGAUGUUUGCCCGGAAACUGGGAAAGGGAAUAACACUCGAAAUGUAUAUAAGAAAUACUCAAGUUAAUAAUAAAAAAAAUUAAAAAAAAAGACCCUGUGCAGACCUCAUUAUUCCUUCCACCUUUUCAUAACUCAUGCCUGAUAUAGAUAAACUCUACAAGUUUUUUUUAAUUUAUUUCCCAUCCUUUGUUUGUCAGUUGCUUUAGAACUCAGUGAAUCUGUUCCUUCUUAAGCCAUUUUAAAAUGUUUUGUGUCUUUUCAUCCUCUUCUCCACCUCACCAAGACUCUUCUUUUCAAACCAGUAUUCCAUCAUAUUAUAUAUCUUUAGCAGAUCGUCUCUGAUACAUAUGGCAACAAGGCAGGGUAUAGAUUAGAUAAUCAGUCAAACAAAUCUGGGCAUGUGUGCCGCUGACAAUACCUGCUUGCCAACAGAACAUACUACAAGCCACCUCUUACUAUUUAAAAUGAGUGACUGGGAAGCUCUGGAGUCAGUGUCUAACGGGGAAGACCUUGCCCACUCUCACAGUUUAUUUGGCCAACACAGAAUGUUUAAAGUAUGAGUUCGUUGCCAAACCCUAGGAAUCUGAAACAUUGACACAGAAUCCAAGUUUCUAUAAGAAUCCUGUUUUGUAAGUAAGGCUGCAAUAAGGCAGGAGCCCUGACCACUCCCUGCUACUCAGUAUCAAUUAUUGCUAUCACUUUUUUUUCUCUUGCACUGCUUUUCCUUUGAGCUCAGUGAGUUGCCACUAUUCACAGCCUUCUCAUACUAUCAAUAAAAUAAGAAUAUAUUGCUAUUAUUGCUGCUUUAAUUUGUUUCCUUUUUCUAGGAAGAAAAAGUGAUAGACUUCCUUAAAAUAUUUAUAUUUCUGUACAUGCACUGUAAUCUCACGUAUGGAGUAAUAUUAUGUAUGACUCAAUCCAUUGAAUCAAAUGAAAAAAUGAGAAAGCAAAUGCCUCAGAGGUUCACCAGCUUCGUCUUAGUAACUCUAAUUUGACCUUUUAUUCUAACGAUCUUGGUUACCUUUUCAUUAGCCAUGAGCAAUGAUAGUAUUAAAUGUAAGCACAGUAGUAAAGGAUAAACUGAUGGAGCAAGUACACAUAUGCAUGUACACACACACACACACACACACACACACACACGCGUGCACACACAUACACACACAAACAUACAUAUACACACAGGCAUAUACAGAGAGAGAGAGACACACAUGCAUGCACACACGCACACACAGAAACAGGCAUAGACAUGUACACACACACUUGAGCACGAGUGCACACUCACACAGGCACAUACAGAGACAUACAUACAUGAACAUACACACACACACACACACACACACACACACACACACAAAGGCACGUACACAAAGCUGAAACUAGAAUUAGUUGGCAGUUAUGUCUUAAACUCAUCCUAUUGGUCACUGAUCCCUGCCCAGCACUGUGUUUUCGGAAUUUGGGGGCCAUUACUGUCAUUUUAUUGUUUAUGAUUACUAACAAGCUACGUUUUAAAAUUUUACCAACAUAUCAAUUCCCUUUUCCAAACAAACUAUACACAUUUUCCCCCAUGGCAUUUUAAGCAUGAAAUGUCUAUCUUUCCUCCUUGCACUGUGUGAAUAAGGUAGAAAACCCUUCAACUUGGAUGUAGGCUCAGCUAAUAAUGGUAGGAAAUGGAAAUACAUUGAAUGAAAUAAAAAUUCAGAGGACCAGAAGGUCUAACUCAGAAAAGGGAGAAGACAUCUUUAUUAAAGGUUGAAGGUGAGGCAUGACCUGGGAAAGUAUAUAGAUGUGUCUGAUGUUUCUCAGUAAUUAUCAGGAAUAAAUGGUUAGAGCAACUGUAUGUUAUUAAUGCUGAGCACUUAUUCACAUCCUAUGUGUCCUGGAACACCUUAAAAUUAAUUAAAUACUGUGUACUCCACACAAAUUGUGCAGCGCAUGUCCGAAUCGUUUAGUAUAGAAUAACGCCUUUACGAUCCAUUUUUCUGAAUUCUUCUAAUGUCAGAAACUAGGACUGAAUUUAUAUCAAAUAUUUUUUCUCUAAAAGUGAAGUGUGAGUGAGGCAAAAUAAAAAAAAAAAGCGUACAUCUUGUAUUACUAGGAAGCUUCCGAUUAUCAACUAACACUCAAGGACACCACUGCUUUUUGUAUGCUUGGGAUGUGAGGGAACUUGAAAGUGAGGCCUGCCUUAGUCUAAGGGAUUUUCUGAGCCACCACUAAGUUGUUUUCCCUUUGACUGUUCUUUGGUUCUUGUCCUGAAAGGAAAGUUCAUUCAGUAGUACCACAGUGGAUGCUGUCCAUGGCGAUCUGGAUGGGAAUCAGUAGCAGGGGGGUCGCCACCAUGUAUGAGGUUCAGCCGGGAUGUCACUCUUCAGAGACACAGUGAGCAACAGGGAAGAAGAGGAAGUUUCUGAGUGACCUCCCACAGGAGACCAGCAGUCAGGACUGUAAUAAUGGUUUACAUUGGCAGAACUCCACUCCUGGGGUGGUCCAUAGUGACAUUGUCAAGAAUCUCUUUCAUUCGCACUGUGAAUAGUGCAGGGACAAGUUGGUUGAAAGGUGAAAAGUUAGAAACGACUGCUGUUUUUCAUGGUUCUGGAGAAGGGGAGUGCAACUUAGAAGCUUGUAAGCAACCGAUUUGGAAAGAAAAGGCAAAAAUGCUUCCUUUUUUUUUUUUUCUUGAGCUCUCACAAACAGUGCAUGCGGUUCCUCAUUAACAAGCCGCACGA
Rattus norvegicus (Norway rat) is the source of this 4300-nucleotide non-coding RNA. NCBI's taxonomy places the organism in Eukaryota, Metazoa, Chordata, Mammalia, Rodentia, Muridae. The record is from RefSeq and is a predicted model, not a curated record.